UAGUAUCAUCCUAAAACAAUA
This 21-nucleotide non-coding RNA is filed under the name Caenorhabditis elegans. The record is from RNAcentral. Lineage: Eukaryota; Metazoa; Nematoda; Chromadorea; Rhabditida; Rhabditidae.